This 488-nucleotide ribosomal RNA is filed under the name Leuconostoc mesenteroides. Its description in RNAcentral is "bacterial SSU rRNA". It matches the Rfam family "Bacterial small subunit ribosomal RNA", at positions 100 to 576 of the family's 1533-position model. The record is from RNAcentral. Lineage: Bacteria; Bacillati; Bacillota; Bacilli; Lactobacillales; Lactobacillaceae.
GAACGGGUGAGUAACACGUGGACAACCUGCCUCAAGGCUGGGGAUAACAUUUGGAAACAGAUGCUAAUACCGAAUAAAACUUAGUGUCGCAUGACACAAAGUUAAAAGGCGCUUCGGCGUCACCUAGAGAUGGAUCCGCGGUGCAUUAGUUAGUUGGUGGGGUAAAGGCCUACCAAGACAAUGAUGCAUAGCCGAGUUGAGAGACUGAUCGGCCACAUUGGGACUGAGACACGGCCCAAACUCCUACGGGAGGCUGCAGUAGGGAAUCUUCCACAAUGGGCGAAAGCCUGAUGGAGCAACGCCGCGUGUGUGAUGAAGGCUUUCGGGUCGUAAAGCACUGUUGUAUGGGAAGAACAGCUAGAAUAGGAAAUGAUUUUAGUUUGACGGUACCAUACCAGAAAGGGACGGCUAAAUACGUGCCAGCAGCCGCGGUAAUACGUAUGUCCCGAGCGUUAUCCGGAUUUAUUGGGCGUAAAGCGAGCGCAGAC